GUGAGGAAUAUUGGUCAAUGGGCGAGAGCCUGAACCAGCCAAGUCGCGUGAAGGAAGAAGGAUCUAUGGUUCGUAAACUUCUUUUGCAGGGGAAUAAAGUGCAGGACGUGUUCUGUUUUGUAUGUACCCUGAGAAUAAGGAUCGGCUAACUCCGUGCCAGCAGCCGCGGUAAUACGGAGGAUCCGAGCGUUAUCCGGAUUUAUUGGGUUUAAAGGGUGCGUAGGUGGUUUGAUAAGUCAGCGGUGAAAGUUUGCAGCUUAACUGUAAAAAUGCCGUUGAAACUGUCGGACUUGAGUGUAAAUGAGGUAGGCGGAAUGCGUGGUGUAGCGGUGAAAUGCAUAGAUAUCACGCAGAACUCCGAUUGCGAAGGCAGCUUACUAAGCUACAACUGACACUGAAGCACGAAAGCGUGGGGAUCAAACAGGAUUAGAUACCCUUGUAGUCC
RNAcentral lists this ribosomal RNA (445 nucleotides) under uncultured bacterium. RNAcentral describes it as "partial 16S ribosomal RNA". It matches the Rfam family "Bacterial small subunit ribosomal RNA", at positions 354 to 796 of the family's 1533-position model. The record is from RNAcentral.